CCCGCAGUCUACAGCGGUAAGGUUCAUU
RNAcentral lists this ribosomal RNA (28 nucleotides) under Trichoderma aureoviride. RNAcentral describes it as "partial 18S ribosomal RNA". Lineage: Eukaryota; Fungi; Ascomycota; Sordariomycetes; Hypocreales; Hypocreaceae. The record is from RNAcentral.